Molecule: long non-coding RNA, 1728 nt
Organism: Gadus morhua (Atlantic cod)
Lineage: Eukaryota; Metazoa; Chordata; Actinopteri; Gadiformes; Gadidae
Source: Ensembl
GUGACAUAUAUACAUCCAGGUGUUACUGUGUUUAGCCGUUACAAGCAGUUUUGAAAAUCUGCCUCUUCCGACAUCACAAGAUGGGAUGUCAAACUAAAUGUGUGCUGAAUAGAUCAGUCUACCAGCCUACCCAGUGGACUGCAGCAAAAGUUACUCAUCUCUCCGUCACACAUCUAGGUGGACACGCCCACUUGUGAUGUCAGAAGAGGCAGAUUUUCAAAACGGCUUCUAACGGCCAAUCACACUCACACCUGGUGGUAUAUGUAUUCUUUAAAACGAUUUAAUGCAUUUGGUUGUAGAAUCCUGAUUUUGCUGAAGAAUAUUUAUUGACUGUUUAUUGACUACUAUUAUUACUUUUGGUGAUUUACAUUUAAACUUUACAUUUUUUCAUAACUUCUCUCGGCUAUGACGACAUUUGGCACAUCUUAAUUCCCAUUCACCCUAUUAAUCUAUAUUGAUCUCCCAAAUCACUCAUCUACUACAUCCAACAUUGGGGAGAUGAAGUCAACCGUUAAUAAUUUGAAUUUGAAUUCAAGUAAAAUGUAAGUAAGUGUCUAAAAAAUGUAAAUAUAUUUGAGGUUGAAAAUAGCUUUAUUCAAAUCAUUUUUCUUUGGGCUGUCUGCCAAAGCAGAAGCUAGAACUUAGAAAUCCGGCAUCAGGAUUAUUAUAAUUCUUUGGAAACGUAGUUCUUCUCGCUCUUGACUGUGACCGCUACCACUCUACUAGUCAUUACAUGUGGUCCACGUCUGUCUUCUGCCUGGCAGGCCCACCUACUGGCUGGGGAAGGACACCCUGAGGGUGUCUGCCAAACUGUUUGCGGAGAAUCGCCGUCGGCUGUGCCAGGGGCUGGGUGCCGCCGGAGCGCCCCCAGGAGCGGUGGUCCUCUUGCAGGGCGGGGAGCAGAAGCAGCGGUACUGCACCGACACGGACGACGUCUUCAGACAGGAUCUAUCCCAUGGAGCACUUCAAAGAGAAAUAUGCUGUUGAUGUAAGUCCAUGUGAUGUAAGUCUAGGGAAGUCAUCACUUCUGCUCUGGUCCACUUGUGUUGGCUGACAUUUUCCCAGGAUCUGAACUUUAAAGUUAAGGUUAGCCAGCCAUAAACUUGCUGUGUCUCUGUAGGGCCGUUUCUAAAGGUGAAAUCCACCCAUCCCUACUUCAGUUCAUAGCUGGUGUUGGUGUUGAAAUGGCGGUGUGGUCCAAAUGUAAUGGUUCCAUACAAACGCUGAAUCCAUAUCAUAACUACAAUUGUGAGUGGGUUAGAAGGCCUCUUGAAUAUCUGCACUGUGAUUAAUUCUGUACAUUAGUGAUCUCAAUCAUCUCCUGUUAUUUAACUACCGGUAUCUUCGUUUUUUUAUCAAACAUCUAAGAGGGGCAGAGACAGAAUCUUAAAAGCCUGGCGGUAUUACUUUAAUGACACAUGACAUAAAAGUCAAUUUCAUUUCUUUAAAGGUGGUCAUUAAAAUAAAUUGUUCUUGCAGUAAUAUACUCCUUGAUUUUAUUUAAUUAAUGUUAUGACAUCUCGUUAUUGGUUAAGGAGCUAGUUCAAGCCAAUGGUUUCUGGAUAUUAAAGGCACGUGCGGUUUCUUUUGCUUUCAUUUUUCCUUGCUGACGACCUGCGUUUUUUUCAUUUAUCUUCACAAAACGAACUGAAAAAUAAUGACUGUCAAUGUCAUUUGACAUUUAGUUAAGUCAAAUAAGUAAGUACUUGAGUUAUUGAGUUUUGAUGU